This 372-nucleotide ribosomal RNA is filed under the name Nannengaella leucopus. RNAcentral's name for it is "SSU rRNA". It matches the Rfam family "Eukaryotic small subunit ribosomal RNA", at positions 76 to 405 of the family's 1831-position model. Lineage: Eukaryota; Evosea; Eumycetozoa; Physariida; Physaraceae. The record is from RNAcentral.
UCUCUCUGAAUCUGCGAACGGCUCCGCAAACCAGUUGUAAACUACAGCAAGCAUGUCCUUGACUUUCGGGUUGGGGAUGAUAUGGAUAACCCUGGUAAUUCUGAGGCUAAUACAAGAUCGUAACACCUGGCUGACUGGGCAACUAGAAGGCUGGGGGACGUGCGGAAAAGGCAGAUGAGUUCCGGGAAAGGAUGCACGUUCAGACCACCAUAAAAACGGUAUCUGUCUAGCCCGCAAGGGUGAAGCGGUGUCCGGGUGGCUCUUGCUUUGUGCUUCUGACCUAUCAACUAGAUGGCAGCGUAACGGACAUGCCAUGGUUACAACGGGUACAGAGGAUAAGGGUUCGAUCCUGGAGAGUGGGCCUGAGAGAUU